CGGCCUCAAAUUCUACUCAAUGGCCUCAAAAUCCUCCUUGGGGACUCCAAAUUCAUCCUCAGCGGCCUCAAAUUCUACUCAACGGCCUCAAAAUCCUCCUUGGGGACUCCAAAAUCCUCCUCGGCGGCCUCAAAAUCCUCC
This 141-nucleotide long non-coding RNA is filed under the name Anas zonorhyncha (Eastern spot-billed duck). Its description in RNAcentral is "lncRNA (ENSAZOG00000007529.1)". Lineage: Eukaryota; Metazoa; Chordata; Aves; Anseriformes; Anatidae. The record is from RNAcentral.